Molecule: non-coding RNA, 182 nt
Organism: Castor canadensis (American beaver)
Lineage: Eukaryota; Metazoa; Chordata; Mammalia; Rodentia; Castoridae
Source: RefSeq, a predicted model, not a curated record
AUGGACCCCAACUACUCCUGCACCACUGGUGAUUCCCGCAUCUGCGCUGGCUCCUGCAAGUGCAAAGAGUGCAAACGCACCUCCUGCAAGAGCUGCUGUUCUGCUGCCCCAUGGGCUAUGCCAAGUGUGCCCAGAACUGUGUCUAUAAAGAGGUAUCCGACAAGUGCAGCUGCUGUGCCUGA